CAUACCAGUCCAUAUGAAGUAUAAAUUAAAGCCAGUUGUGUUUUAGAUUUUAUCCAACAGAUAUGCUCUCUUCCUAAACACAGGUUACCGCUGCAUCAGUUAAAAUCGUGCGGCGAGUUCCAUUCCGAUUUGUAUUUGCCUUGAAGUAUUCUACUUAUAAUUCUAUA
Molecule: unclassified non-coding RNA, 167 nt
Filed under: Mizuhopecten yessoensis (Yesso scallop)
Lineage: Eukaryota; Metazoa; Mollusca; Bivalvia; Pectinida; Pectinidae
Description: uncharacterized LOC110465106, transcript variant X1
Source: RNAcentral